GUAGGUGGCAAGCGUUGUCCGGAAUUAUUGGGGCGUAAAGCGCGCGCAGGCGGUUCGUUUAAGUCUGAUGUGAAAGCCCACGGGCUCAACCGUGGAGGGUCAUUGGAAACUGGAGAACUUGAGUACAGAAGAGGAAAGCGGAAUUCCACGUGUAGCGGUGAAAUGCGUAGAGAUGUGGAGGAACACCAGUGGCGAAGGCGGCUUUCUGGUCUGUAACUGACGCUGAGGCGCGAAAGCGUGGGCAGCAAACAGGAUUAGAUACCCUGGUAGUCCACGCCGUAAACGAUGAGUGCUAAGUGUUAGGGGGUUUCCGCCCCUUAGUGCUGCAGCUAACGCAUUAAGCACUCCGCCUGGGGAGUACGGCCGCAAAGGCUG
RNAcentral lists this ribosomal RNA (375 nucleotides) under uncultured organism. Its description in RNAcentral is "partial 16S ribosomal RNA". It matches the Rfam family "Bacterial small subunit ribosomal RNA", at positions 527 to 896 of the family's 1533-position model. The record is from RNAcentral.